This 538-nucleotide ribosomal RNA is filed under the name uncultured bacterium. Its description in RNAcentral is "partial 16S ribosomal RNA". It matches the Rfam family "Bacterial small subunit ribosomal RNA", at positions 355 to 909 of the family's 1533-position model. The record is from RNAcentral.
UGGGGAAUAUUGCACAAUGGGCGAAAGCCUGAUGCAGCAACGCCGCGUGAGUGAUGAAGGCCUUCGGGUUGUAAAGCUCUGUCUUUUGGGACGAUAAUGACGGUACCAAAGGAGGAAGCCACGGCUAACUACGUGCCAGCAGCCGCGGUAAUACGUAGGUGGCAAGCGUUGUCCGGAUUUACUGGGCGUAAAGGAUGCGUAGGCGGAUUUUUAAGUGAGAUGUGAAAACCCUAAGCUUAACUUGGGGACUGCAUUUCAUACUGGAAAUCUAGAGUGCGGGAGAGGAGAAUGGAAUUCCUAGUGUAGCGGUGAAAUGCGUAGAGAUUAGGAAGAACACCAGUGGCGAAGGCGAUUCUCUGGACCGUAACUGACGCUGAGGCAUGAAAGCGUGGGUAGCAAACAGGAUUAGAUACCCUGGUAGUCCACGCCGUAAACGAUGAGUACUAGGUGUAGGAGGUAUCGACCCCUUCUGUGCCGCAGUUAACACAAUAAGUACUCCGCCUGGGAAGUACGAUCGCAAGAUUAAAACUUAAAUGAA